UUAAAUUAAAGAAUGAGGGGCCGCCAACGGGNGAGAAGNGUUUAUUGACGCAACGGAAGACCNUACCUGGUUUGACAUCCUGUGAAUUUUGAGAGAUCAAAAGGCNUUGGGAGCACAGAGACAGGUGNUGCAUGGCUGUCGUCAGCUCGGUCGUGAGAUGUUUGGUAAGUCCAAUAACGAGCGCAACCCUUAUCGUUAGUUGCCAGCACAUAAUGGUGGGAACUCUAGCGAGACUGCCCGGGUUAACCGGGAGGAAGGCGGGGAUGACGUCAAGUCCUCAUGGCCCUUAUGUCCAGGGCUACACACGUGCUACAAUGGUAAAUACAAAGGGCAGCGAGCCAGCGAUGGUGAGCGAAUCCCAAAAGUUUAUCUCAGUCCGGAUUGGAGUCUGCAACUCGACUCCAUGAAGUUGGAAUCGCUAGUAAUCGUGGAUCAGCAUGCCACGGUGAAUAUGUUCCCGGGCCUUGUACACACCGCCCGUCACACCAUGGAAGUUGAUUAUACCCGACGUCGCCGGGCUAACUUCCCUUUCUUUUAGAUAGGGAAGAGGNAGGCGCCUAAAGUAGGUGAGANGGGGA
RNAcentral lists this ribosomal RNA (578 nucleotides) under uncultured bacterium. RNAcentral describes it as "bacterial SSU rRNA". It matches the Rfam family "Bacterial small subunit ribosomal RNA", at positions 901 to 1477 of the family's 1533-position model. The record is from RNAcentral.